This 870-nucleotide ribosomal RNA is filed under the name Triticum aestivum (bread wheat). RNAcentral's name for it is "partial small subunit ribosomal RNA". Lineage: Eukaryota; Viridiplantae; Streptophyta; Magnoliopsida; Poales; Poaceae. The record is from RNAcentral.
AUGAGAAAACAAAGCCGCAUGGUUAAUUACUACUCACUCUUGUUAAGGAAGUGGCCGCUGCGUCGGCUAAACGCAGUCUCCCAGCCACGACGGAAGGACUCAAACUUGAGCUCCUCGGUAGACAUCACCCUCUUCUCCUUGGCUAAUUGUGCCUCUGAUUUGCCUCUGUCUACCUCAUCGUCGUCAACACAAUCAGUGUCAGCUCGAUCAUGGCCAUCACUGUUUAUGGACACUUUUGCCGUUGUGUUGGUGGGAAUGGGAUCAGGUUUCUCUGAUACAUCGGUAUCUUGGGCAUCUGCCUCCAUCACUGCCUCAGCAUCAAUCUCCGAAAUUGGUGUGGAGCCGGUGAUCCUCUGGACCCCCUCCUCCUCCAUGGCUGGCUUGCCACACUCCAUCUCAUCCUCUUCCUCGUCGUCACCAGAACCAGUGUCAGCUCGAUCAUGGCCAUCACUGUUUAUGGACACUUUUGCCGUUGUGUUGGUGGGAAUGGGAUCAGGUUUCUCUGAUACAUCGGUAUCUUGGGCAUCUGCCUCCAUCACUGCCUCAGCAUCAAUCUCCGAAAUUGGUGUGGAGCCGGUGAUCCUCUGGACCCCCUCCUCCUCCAUGGCUGGCUUGCCACACUCCAUCUCAUCCUCUUCCUCGUCGUCACCAGAACCAUCAGCGCCAUCAUCAUCAUCUGAAAUUGGAUCUGCUCCUAAUGUCGAACUCAGAUCACUGAGACCAUUCAUAUGCUUCCCCGAGGGGUCCGACAGAUCAGAGAUCGCGGGGGAGCUGCGGGCAGUUCCGGCGGUUAUCCCCAUCCGCUUGCGCAAGACCUUGAUACGAUUGUCGAGAAAACCAAGCCCCUUCUGCGUGCCCAGACUACGGUAG